Molecule: long non-coding RNA, 668 nt
Filed under: Homo sapiens (human)
Lineage: Eukaryota; Metazoa; Chordata; Mammalia; Primates; Hominidae
Description: HSALNT0315282
Source: RNAcentral
GAGUGUGGGGAAGGCCAUAGAAAGGACCGGCGAAUGCUGGCAUUGAUGUGUGUUAUUUUAACAUUUCUGAAAUCCUGUUCUUAGUCUGCACACCUUGUCCGAGGCUCCGAUGUUAUCCAGGUCACCAGGUAUGCCCCUGGGCUCCUGCCGCAGCUGAUCGGGUGCUAGGUGCUGAGGAUACACGAUGAAGAGACUGGGGCUCCAGGAAUUGACUUUCCCAGAAUCCCAUUGUCACUUCAGGGCUCUCAAGAUGUUGCCUUCCAGAAUUCUGCUUGCUCGUAUCAGGUUCUCCUAAAGAAAGGAAGCCAUUAAACAAGAAAAGAAACCAACAUUCCGUUAUGGAUUAAAAAUAUGCUGUCAUUCACCUAUUAGCUCUUCUACAUUGGCCAGGAUGGAGGCGACAUUUCUGGUUUUCUUAUCUUUCCUCUUGUUUUAGCAGAAUUUGAGGAAUCUGCUUAACCAUUUGUACUUUGUUCUACUGCCAGUCCAAACAAUUUCAAUCAAUGGAUUCCCAAGCCAAGCUUCUAACUACAGCUCACCAGGCAUCCUAGUUGGACUGAUUUUGUUUUUGUUUUGAGAAAUUAUGAAAUAGGCAAGUUGUCUUACAUGUAAGUAUUGACCAUUUGGGAAAAGCUGUUAUUUGCCUUCAGUUAAAAUAUGCAAGAAAA